UUUACAAACCCUAAAUCCUAAUUCUAAAAUCGGGCUGAAUUGGGCUGAGUGAAUCGGGCCUAGACAGUGAAAUCGGGCUAUGGAGUGAAAUCGGGCCUAGGCGGAGAGUUGGGCCAGCUCUGGACUUUAUCUUGUGGGUUAUAACUCUCAUCUAUCAGCCCAAUAGUUAAACGGGUUAAACGGAUUAAACGGGUCAGACAUCUAAAACCCGUAUCCGACCCAAUUAAUUAACAGGUUAAACGGGUC
This 246-nucleotide long non-coding RNA is filed under the name Phoenix dactylifera (date palm). Its description in RNAcentral is "long non-coding RNA (PDAC_LNC000036)". Lineage: Eukaryota; Viridiplantae; Streptophyta; Magnoliopsida; Arecales; Arecaceae. The record is from RNAcentral.